GCAUAAUGUAAUAAACCAUAUUCUAUAAAUAAGCCAGAUAUAGUAGAUAAAAUGUAUUUCAUUUGAUGAUUCAGAUCCAAUUCAAUAAAGCAGAAUAUUCCAUAGAGUUUAUUUCCUCUAAUUGCAGGAGAGAAAUGGAUUUUCCCUCAUGUUUCCCUCCUCCACUCAGUGUUUGCUAUAGUUGCUGAUUGUGAGAGAAAACUAGAAAUAGAAUUUGCCAUGAAAUUUAAAACUUUACAAACUUCUUCGUGCUUCAUUUGAAAAGUAAUGUAGAGCUGGUAUUCUGUAUAAAUUCUGAUGUGGACUUUUUUCCUUAGAACUUUACAAGGAAAGGGGAAAUGUUGGAAAUGGAGAUGCACAACCUUGUCUUGAAGCAGAAGACUCAGCUAGAGCACAUCUGGACAUGCCUGGCAUUCCUCAAUAUAAUUCAAAUGAUAUUUUAAAAAGAACUGUCCAGUCAGGCUUGCAUUUCCUCUGCUUUGGAUGCUCUCUUGACAAGAUCACCGCAGACUUCCACCUGGCCAAGUUCAACGGCAUACUUCAGUCCUUGUUUUUCUGAUCUCUCAGCUGCAUUUAGCACAAACUGAUCCCAUUUUAACAUUGUAUAACACUUUAUUUACCUGGCUUCAGUGAAUUGUUCAUAGAUAAAUAAAGCAUAGCUUUGAAAAGAAUUAUGGAUUUUUUAAUUUAGCCUUUUUUUCUUUUCAAAAUGCUCCCCAAGUUGUGUUAACAGCUAGCUUUCCCAAAUAUCUAUAUAUUCCUGAUUAUCUUAUGUAUACUACUUCCCUAAUUUUUACUGAAGAACAGUAAUUAAGGGAGUGGGCUCUGGAAUCAGAACAAGUUAAAAUUAUUGUCUAUAAUUUCUAUAUUUUUUAAUGUUUCAUAUUUCAAAAUAAUGAUUAUAAUUUGUAUAUAGUAAUCUUUUACAAUCUUUAAUUGUUUUAAUAGAGUAGAUUCUUUGAAAAAGGCAAAUGAUCUGCUUCUUGAAAUGCAUAAAUGACCAGAAUUGUUUCAAUAUUAGAAAUAAAGAUUCAGUGAAAAGUAAAAAAUGACUGUGAAAAAAAUGUGGAAAAGUGACUAAAGCAGUCAAAGACAUAUACCUUGCUAGCAGUCCCUUUCCACAAAACACACACACACACACACACACACACACACACACACCCCUCAGAUGGUCUUAUAUGUGAUUUGAUCAAAUCUAUAAAGGACUUAUAAUUCCUAUGUACUUCAAACUCUUCAAAUAAAAACCAAAAUUUAUUAUUUGAAAAUAAGAUAAUGCUAACGUUAAAACCAUGGGAAGAAAAAGGCAAAAAACCAACAAAACCCAUACCUAAGAAGAAAAAUAGACCAAAUAGAAGAAUUUCUAUAAAAAUCCAG
Molecule: long non-coding RNA, 1374 nt
Filed under: Callithrix jacchus (white-tufted-ear marmoset)
Lineage: Eukaryota; Metazoa; Chordata; Mammalia; Primates; Cebidae
Description: lncRNA (ENSCJAG00000079749.1)
Source: RNAcentral